CGUAAGGUGGAGUAAUGGUAACUUAGCGGGCUCAUUACCCGAAGCUGUCGGUUCAAGUCCGACCCUUGCAA
This 71-nucleotide transfer RNA is filed under the name Rickettsiales bacterium. Its description in RNAcentral is "tRNA-Met". It matches the Rfam family "tRNA". From Rfam's summary of the family: Transfer RNA (tRNA) molecules are approximately 80 nucleotides in length. Their secondary structure includes four short double-helical elements and three loops (D, anti-codon, and T loops). The record is from RNAcentral. Lineage: Bacteria; Pseudomonadati; Pseudomonadota; Alphaproteobacteria; Rickettsiales.